Molecule: non-coding RNA, 1044 nt
Organism: Musa acuminata subsp. malaccensis (wild Malaysian banana)
Lineage: Eukaryota; Viridiplantae; Streptophyta; Magnoliopsida; Zingiberales; Musaceae
Source: RefSeq, a predicted model, not a curated record
UCGUGUCGCCCGCUCCGAUCCCGCGGAUUCUUCUCUUCUCGUCCUCGCUCGUCGCCAUCAUGCUAAUUAAGGAGCGCGACUUCAACACUCGUCGUCAUCAAUCCAGGUUCCAAAACCCUAAUCCCAUCUUUUUACUUAUCGAGAAACGAUCGGCCCUGAGGUUCGUAUGCCAUUUUGUCGGUAGGGAUUGUUGUACGCUUUGAUUCGGUGGACUCAUGAUUGAAGCGUUGCAAACCGAAGGGAACCGUGUAGGAUUCGAUGCCCUACACAUGCGUCACAAGGAACAGAGUUGUUUGCCACCUCUAGCCCUAACAGAGUUAGGGUACCACUUACAUGAACCACAUGAUCAACCCACGCAUGUUUGUAAUUGAUCAUGUGGUUCAUGUGAGUAGUACCCUAACAUGGAAUUUUGGAAUUGGGAUGAUGAUGAAAAGAGGAUUUGAGUUCAUACAUAAAUGUGCUUAGAGCAUUAAACGAAGCUCGAGGCAAACCCACUUCUUUGUGCCGAUGGGAUGAACAUCUGUGCCAAGGGGGUGGCGUGGCAUUUGGUCUUGGCUUCAUCUCGGUCUAAGCCUUGGAAGGUUGCUUAGCGGUUGUUCGAGUUACUUCAUUGGUCAGCCAGUUUCUUAUGAUUUACAUCCAAAUCACUUUCUUGCCCAAAUUUUCUCCAGUCAGGAAUUAUGCAUCAGAUUUUGAAAGGCUGGCAUCAAAUCAAAUUUGAGGAAACAGUAUUCCUUCCAGCAGUUGCAUGUGAGAGCCAUUACAAAAUAGUGAGGACUGUCAUAACCCAUGUCGGAGAAGAUAGUGAUGCCAAUGGACUCUGCCAGACUUGUGCGACAACUGGUCUUAUCAUUCAACUCUUUAGAACCAAGUGUUGCUUUUUGGUUAAUUAGAACCUUCCUCACUUAGGAGGAUAUCUGAUGCAAAAUUUCUAACACCAAACAUACAGUAGUCUAACUUUGUGUGGAACGCUAAUCAAAUCAUUAUUAUUCGUUGGUUUGUAUUUUUAGUUUGGCAGUAAUCUUGCAUCUAAAAAAUAGUCCU